UGGGGAAUAUUGCACAAUGGAGGGAACUCUGAUGCAGCGACGCCGCGUGAACGAAGAAGGCUUUCGAGUCGUAAAGUUCUUUUAUAUGGGAAGAUAAUGACGGUACCAUAAGAAAAAGCACCGGCUAACUACGUGCCAGCAGCCGCGGUAAUACGUAGGGGGCUAGCGUUGUCCGGAAUCACUGGGCGUAAAGGGUUCGCAGGCGGAAAUGCAAGUCAGGUGUAAAAGGCAGUAGCUUAACUACUGUAAGCAUUUGAAACUGCAUAUCUUGAGAAGAGUAGAGGUAAGUGGAAAUUUGAGUGUAGCGGUGAAAUGCGUAGAUAUUAAAAAGAAUACCGGUGGCGAAGGCGACUUACUGGGCUCAUUCUGACGCUGAGGAACGAAAGCGUGGGUAGCAAACAGG
RNAcentral lists this ribosomal RNA (403 nucleotides) under Fusobacteriota bacterium. RNAcentral's name for it is "Fusobacteria bacterium partial 16S ribosomal RNA". It matches the Rfam family "Bacterial small subunit ribosomal RNA", at positions 355 to 776 of the family's 1533-position model. Lineage: Bacteria; Fusobacteriati; Fusobacteriota. The record is from RNAcentral.